RNAcentral lists this transfer RNA (76 nucleotides) under Streptomyces phage Daubenski. Its description in RNAcentral is "tRNA-Leu". It matches the Rfam family "tRNA". Rfam says of the family: Transfer RNA (tRNA) molecules are approximately 80 nucleotides in length. Their secondary structure includes four short double-helical elements and three loops (D, anti-codon, and T loops). The record is from RNAcentral. RNAcentral also lists the same sequence under 7 other names. Lineage: Duplodnaviria; Heunggongvirae; Uroviricota; Caudoviricetes; Stanwilliamsviridae.
GCUCCCAUAGACCAAUUGGCAGGAGUCGCACGGCUUAGACCCGUGAAUGUGUCGGUUCGAAUCCGACUGGGAGUAC